UAGGGAAUCUUCCGCAAUGGACGCAAGUCUGACGGAGCAACGCCGCGUGAGUGAAGAAGGAUUUCGGUUCGUAAAACUCUGUUGUUAGAGAAGAACAGCGCAUAGAGUAACUGUUAUGCGUGUGACGGUAUCUAACCAGAAAGCCACGGCUAACUACGUGCCAGCAGCCGCGGUAAUACGUAGGUGGCAAGCGUUGUCCGGAUUUAUUGGGCGUAAAGCGAGCGCAGGCGGUCAAUUAAGUCUGAUGUGAAAGCCCCCGGCUCUACCGGGGAGGGUCAUUGGAAACUGGUUGACUUGAGUGCAGAAGAGGAGAGUGGAAUUCCAUGUGUAGCGGUGAAAUGCGUAGAUAUAUGGAGGAACACCAGUGGCGAAGGCGACUCUCUGGUCUGUAACUGACGCUGAGGCUCGAAAGCGUGGGUAGCAAACAGG
RNAcentral lists this ribosomal RNA (429 nucleotides) under Bacteroidota bacterium. Its description in RNAcentral is "Bacteroidetes bacterium partial 16S ribosomal RNA". It matches the Rfam family "Bacterial small subunit ribosomal RNA", at positions 355 to 776 of the family's 1533-position model. Lineage: Bacteria; Pseudomonadati; Bacteroidota. The record is from RNAcentral.